CGACAGUGAUGAGCCUUUUAUCCCGAAACUGAUAAUCCAUUGAUGAGCAAAAUAUAGAUCUGACUGCUGAGUU
Molecule: small nucleolar RNA, 73 nt
Organism: Cyprinodon tularosa
Lineage: Eukaryota; Metazoa; Chordata; Actinopteri; Cyprinodontiformes; Cyprinodontidae
Product: small nucleolar RNA SNORD50
Exons: 1
Source: RefSeq, a predicted model, not a curated record